AGCGAACGCUGGCGGCAGGCUUAACACAUGCAAGUCGAACGCUCGUAGCAAUACGGGAGUGGCAGACGGGUGAGUAACGCGUGGGAAUAUGCCUUUUGGUUCGGAAUAACUCAGGGAAACUUGAGCUAAUACCGGAUAAGCCCGAGAGGGGAAAGAUUUAUCGCCAAAAGAUUAGCCCGCGUCCGAUUAGCUAGUUGGUGAGGUAAUGGCUCACCAAGGCGACGAUCGGUAGCUGGUCUGAGAGGAUGAUCAGCCACACUGGGACUGAGACACGGCCCAGACUCCUACGGGAGGCAGCAGUGGGGAAUAUUGGACAAUGGGCGCAAGCCUGAUCCAGCCAUGCCGCGUGAGUGAUGAAGGCCUUAGGGUUGUAAAGCUCUUUUGUCCGGGAAGAUAAUGACUGUACCGGAAGAAUAAGCCCCGGCUAACUUCGUGCCAGCAGCCGCGGUAA
Molecule: ribosomal RNA, 451 nt
Filed under: uncultured bacterium
Lineage: Bacteria
Description: partial 16S ribosomal RNA
Rfam family: Bacterial small subunit ribosomal RNA
Source: RNAcentral